UACGUAGGGUGCAAGCGUUAAUCGGAAUUACUGGGCGUAAAGCGUGCGCAGGCGGUUAUGUAAGACAGUUGUGAAAUCCCCGGGCUCAACCCUGGGAAUUGCAUCUGUGACUGCAUAGCUAGAGUACGGUAGAGGGGAUGGAAUCCGCGUGUAGGCAGUGAAAUGCGUAGAUAUGCGGAGGAACACCGAUGGCGAAGGGACAAUCCCCUGGACCUGUACUCGACGCUCCAUG
Molecule: ribosomal RNA, 232 nt
Filed under: uncultured bacterium
Lineage: Bacteria
Description: partial 16S ribosomal RNA
Rfam family: Bacterial small subunit ribosomal RNA
Source: RNAcentral